AACGAACGCUGGCGGCAUGCCUAACACAUGCAAGUCGAACGAGACCUUCGGGUCUAGUGGCGCACGGGUGCGUAACGCGUGGGAACCUGCCCUUAGGUUCGGAAUAACUCCCCGAAAGGGGUGCUAAUACCGGAUAAUGUCUUCGGACCAAAGAUUUAUCGCCUUUGGAUGGGCCCGCGUUGGAUUAGCUAGUUGGUAGGGUAAAAGCCUACCAAGGCGACGAUCCAUAGCUGGUCUGAGAGGAUGAUCAGCCACACUGGGACUGAGACACGGCCCAGACUCCUACGGGAGGCGGGAGGGGGGAAUAUUGGAAAUUGGGAAAAAGCCGGAACAAGAAAGGCCGGGGGAGUGAUGAAGGCCUUGGGGUUGAAAAGCUCUUUUACCCGGAAUGAUAAUGACAGUACGGGGAAAAAAAGCCCCGGCUAACUCCGU
RNAcentral lists this ribosomal RNA (432 nucleotides) under uncultured bacterium. RNAcentral describes it as "partial 16S ribosomal RNA". It matches the Rfam family "Bacterial small subunit ribosomal RNA", at positions 29 to 506 of the family's 1533-position model. The record is from RNAcentral.